Long non-coding RNA from Xenia sp. Carnegie-2017, 649 nucleotides. RefSeq lists it as uncharacterized. The record is from RefSeq and is a predicted model, not a curated record. The transcript has 3 exons. Lineage: Eukaryota; Metazoa; Cnidaria; Anthozoa; Malacalcyonacea; Xeniidae.
CGCAAGGUGGUCAUUACUAUUCUCCGUCAUCGGAAAGCGAAGACAAAUACAUUCACAGAAUUGGAAAUGUUGAAUGGUGUGAGUGUGGCUUUUGUGUGGUCAUGAGUACAGAACGGGAAAGUGUAUGUUGCCAAGAGGUAAACAAUACUGAUCCUCUGAUACAUGGCGAUCAUAUUUGCAUCACACAAGAGGAAGAGUUUACCACAGUGUGUACAAACGAAGCUGUCGUAAAAACAGCUAUGGUCGUGUACACACAUGGCAUUGGACCUAUGCCUGAGAGUGAAGAAAACGAGUGAGAGUCUGAUCCAUUGUAGCUAUUGCUCAUCGUCGACGUGCUUUCUGUAUCAGACCAUACAGCGCUAUCCUCAAAAUGUUCAAUUUCACAUGACGUCUCUGUUUGCUGUGAUUUUUUGUUGAAAUUAACUCAACCUCCGUACCUUAGCAUAAAAUUAUCGCAUUGCUGGAUUUUUCACAAAAAUCAAAACGGCCGAAAUGGAAAGUCUAUACAUCUACUUAUCAUAUUUGGCACUUUUGUUUGAGUGGUUCUUAACCUUACGUGUUUUUGCGGAAGGAUUGUUAUGUCUGCUUGGCAUUUCACAUUGCGCUUCUAAGACAAACUUCCUUUGAGGUAAAACGCACAAACAUUUCG